RNAcentral lists this ribosomal RNA (28 nucleotides) under Coprosma crenulata. Its description in RNAcentral is "partial 26S ribosomal RNA". The record is from RNAcentral. Lineage: Eukaryota; Viridiplantae; Streptophyta; Magnoliopsida; Gentianales; Rubiaceae.
CAAGAGCCCCGAAAAGGGGCCUUCGACC